UACGUAGGGUGCGAGCGUUGUCCGGAAUUAUUGGGCGUAAAGGGCUCGUAGGCGGUUUGUCGCGUCGGGAGUGAAAACCCAGGGCUUAACUCUGGGCUUGCUUUCGAUACGGUCAGACUAGAGGUAUGCAGGGGAGAACGGAAUUCCUGGUGUAGCGGUGAAAUGCGCAGAUAUCAGGAGGAACACCGGUGGCGAAGGCGGUUCUCUGGGCAUUACCUGACGCUGAGGAGCGAAAGUGUGGGGAGCGAACAGG
This 253-nucleotide ribosomal RNA is filed under the name uncultured bacterium. RNAcentral's name for it is "partial 16S ribosomal RNA". It matches the Rfam family "Bacterial small subunit ribosomal RNA", at positions 524 to 776 of the family's 1533-position model. The record is from RNAcentral.